RNAcentral lists this long non-coding RNA (236 nucleotides) under Lathyrus oleraceus (garden pea). Its description in RNAcentral is "Pisum sativum (pea) long non-coding RNA (PSAT_LNC013478)". The record is from RNAcentral. Lineage: Eukaryota; Viridiplantae; Streptophyta; Magnoliopsida; Fabales; Fabaceae.
UUCAUAAAACUCUUUGAUGUGUGUGCUUUUGUGCUAUGGAAUCCUAUGAGAGUUCAAAUUGAAGAACCAUUGCCAUGUUCAUCCAAAGUGAAAGAUACCAGAGCCAUUGGGGAUCUUCUAAGAGCUUGCUUGAUUAAUUUGACUGCUUGAGCUUACACUUAUUUUGCUUGCAUAUUCCAAAGGAUGUGAGCUACUUAGAUCAUCAAUAUGAUCUCAAGAGAGGAACUCCAUUUGUG